This 17221-nucleotide long non-coding RNA is filed under the name Hordeum vulgare. Its description in RNAcentral is "long non-coding RNA (HVUL_LNC017315)". Lineage: Eukaryota; Viridiplantae; Streptophyta; Magnoliopsida; Poales; Poaceae. The record is from RNAcentral.
CAAGAUAAUACAAUUAAUGAGUACUUUUUUAAUAUUACACCCCUGAGAAGAGUAGGGAUAACAAAUAGAGAUCGAUACAAACAAAGGGAAGGAGAGCGAGCUCUACUGACCUUGGGGCUAAAUAUCAAAUCCGUUGAUUGCUCGAAAAAAAGAUGUUGUAAAUUAUUCCAGGUAUACUGAGACUGAUUCUAAAUCGAGCUAGGUAGCUACCAGUACCUAGCCAGCUGCAGGGGAACGAAGACACUGAUCAUUGGCAUGAGAUACCAGGGCAGAGGACAUGGUUCGUCGGGAUUCGCGCACUGAUCUCACACAGACAGUUCAUGUAGCCUUGGGAUAAAUUUGCGCAGCACGGCUUCAUAAAAUCUCGAUCGCCGUAGCGACCAGCAAGGACCCCUUGCCUACAAUAAACUCCCAUUGGAAGGGGGUCGCAGGGCCCUGCCUCCUCUGUCACCGGCGCAAGCGCCAGCACAAGCGCCGCCACUAGCACCAGCAGAAGCGCCGCUGCACGGGAUGGAUUCAUGGUUAUAGAUAGCUAGGGGUUGAAUGUGGAUAGACGCUCAAGGUGGUGGGUGCUUCAAGGUGGUGGGUGCUUUGCUUGGGGAGUGUGGUAUGGUACUGGUAUAUAGAGGAUGGUUUCACCCCUUCCGGAGAUCUGGGCUUUUUUAUAGUCUAUCUAUAGGAUCCUCCACCGCCCCAUAUGGGAUGAGUAGAUCGCCCUUGUGAGGAUCUGCCCUUUUUAUAAUCUAUCUCACUCUCAAACCUCCACCGACCAAGCACACCACUACUAAGCACGUUCGUCAAGCUUUAACCAUUGACUUCCAGAUGGCAACACACUGGCUAGAUCACAUCGUCGAUCACAUAUAGCUUGUCGGCACUCAGUCCUUCCUCCUUGACUCACCCAAUCGCAUCUAAUCUCUGGGAACUCAACUGCAGCCGCUCUUGUUCCUUUUUUUUGUCCUCUAUGUGGAAGAAGUAGGCACAGCUACUUUCCACGAUUUGAGGGGCACCAGGUCCAUCAAACCCGUACCCCAUGUUAGGCACGGUGAUAGUGCCUUGACAUGGGUUGCGUGUGGUGGCUAGCUUGCCUAGGUCCAGCAAGUCCUCGACCAUGUUUCAAUCCUAUCAAAUGAAGUCUUUGUGUUGGUUGGGUCUGCACUGACUCGGCCUCACUCUCGGCUGCUAUUUUUGCGUUGCAACUGAUUCUGGCCCGAAUUAAUAUGCUCUCGUCACUGCUGAAAAAUUAUUGUAAGCUGAGUAUGAGACAGUUUGCCGAGUAUAUUCUGCCGAGCACUCGGCAAGAAGCCUCCUAAACUGAGUAUCAGAAACAAAAACUCACCAAACCUCAGGUACUCAGCAAAGCCAACCUAAGAUGAGUGUGAAAACAGAAAUACACAGGGAAGCAGCCUUAUAGUGUCUUUUGACAUGCACUCGGCAAACAAUGUGGAAUGUGUCCACCGUCGUUGGAACGGUAGACAGUGCGGUCACCUUUGCCGAGUACCUUCUCAUAGCAACUCAGCAAACAAGUGUUCUUUUUAUUCCUUUCUAUUCUUUGUUUUCUUCUCUUUAUUUUUUCUUAAUUUCUUUGAGGUUCUUUAUUUAUUUCAUUUCAUUAAUUUUGUUUUCUCUUCUUUUCUUUCUUUCGUUCUUUUUGAGUCGGGUUUCCAUACAAAGUGACUGCUGAUUCCUCUGUUGACCUUCUGUUUUUUCUACACUCAACACACACUGAUGACCGUCAUUUUUUUCUACAUUCAACACACACGACACUUCCCGCAAAAAAUAAACACACUAUACACCUAUAAUGUAACAAAUUGGGCAUUUUUCGAGUCUGUUUGUUAUAUUUACGUCACAAAAUACAUUUCUAGCCAUUUAAUAGAUAUAACUUAAAUUUAAAUUGCCGAUACAUACAAUUAUUCCCUGAUGUGGGUUGAACAAUCAUAUUGUUGGACUUUGUUGGCGCCGACACUCGCAGCACCGCUUCUUUUUCUACCUCACAACUCUCUCUUCUCUCAUGUAUCUCAAGAACACACACACGGACACACCUCACCGGUGAGAAAACUAGCUUUGCUUUGGUCUCCCGGUGAAAGCACAUACGCUACAUCUUUUCUUCCAGCCCUCACGGCCUCUGCCAUUUCUCAUUGUCUUGAUAUGCAACAUAUAUACAACAGGGUAGGCCUCAUGCACGCACUUACUAGUCGGCAGGUUCGGCCACUAACACCACGUAACACACGCCCAACUAACUAUCCAGUAAUCUCUCCCAGCUAACAACUUAUCCGUGCAGCCACUAACUAACCCAUCCAUGCAUGCACUUGACUCGGCUAAACACAAAAUACUAUUGCAGCUUGCAUGCACACACAUGAACACAUCUUUAUGUGUCCACACUGCCGCAGCUACUGCUACAUGCAUUACUUACAAACAAAUAUGCAGAUACAUCAUGACAAGAUUAGUGCUAACAGACUUUAGUAUAUGCUUAGUGACGAAGCUAAAUCCGGCAGACCUCCUGGUAGGAGAUCCUAAUUAAGCUAGGCGUCUAGGAACCAUAAGGAAGAUACUAAUCUUGCAUCGAGCACUACCAAUCAAGCUUUAACCAUUGACUUCCACAUGGCAACACACUGGCUAGAUCCAAUCAUCGAUCACCUAUAGCUUGUUGGCACUCACUCGUUCCUCCUUGAGUCACCCAAUCACGUCUAAUCUCUGGGAAUUCACCCGCAACCGAUCUUGUUCCUCUUUUUUGUCCACGAUGUCGAAGCAGUAGGCACAUAUGCUUUCUAUCAUUUGAGGGGCACCAGGUCUAUGAAACCCGUAGCCCAUGUUAGGCAUGCUGAUAGUGCCCUGACAUGGGCUGCGUGUUGUGGAUAGAUUGGCUAGGUCCAACAAGUCCUCGACUAUGUUUCAACCCUUAGUGCAGAUUUGAUCUGCAUUGACUCGGCGUCACUCUCGGCUGCUAUUGUAGCGUUGCAACUAAUGAAAAAUUGUUGUAAUAAGCCGAGUGUGAGACAGUUUGCCGAGUAUAUUCUGUCGAGCACUCAGCACAGCCAGCAAAACCAAGUAUCAAUAAUAAACACUGCACAAAAUUUAUGUGAAAACAGAAACAGACGGUGAAGCAACACUAUAAGCGUCUUCUGACAUGCACUCGGCAAAGAAGGUGGCAUGUGUCCACCGUCACUGCAGUUUGACGUGACGUAGACAAUGCGGUCACCUUUGCCGAGUACCUUCUCACAGGGACUCAACAACGAAGUGUUCUUUCUAUUCCUUUCUAUUCUUUAUUUUCUUCUCUUUAUUUGUUUUCCUUUUCUUUCUUAACUUCUUUGAGGUUCUCUAUUUCUUUCAUUUCAUUGAUUUUAUUUUCUCUUCUUUUCUUUCUUUUGUUUAUUUUUUGAGUCAGAUUUCCACACGAAGUGACUGUUGCUUCCGCUGUUUUUUUUGCGAUGAGUUGCUUCCGCUGUUGACCAGCAGUUUUUUCUACACUCAACACACAAUGUUGACUUUCAAUUUUUUCUAUAUUAGACACAUUCACUAGUGGAUCCCGCCAAAAUGUGACAAGCACCCCACUGCUCGAUCUGAGACCUCCUGCAGCUUCCUACCCAGGAUGCCGAUGCUCUACCCCAUGGCUCUCAUGUCAUCACCGUGAUGUCGUGCUGCUGGAGGCCGUCACAUCCCGGCGCCAUUGCUUGACUGGAAGUCUCGCACCUUCCGUUGGACAAGAUUGUAAAUGAGGAGAAGGUACCGCUGCAGCCAGGGGCGGACCUAGAAACUAUUUUAAGUGGGGCAAACAAUAGGAGUGGGGGCACACUUUGUACAAAUUUACAUAGUUUUGACAAAAAUUCUGUAAUUUCAAAGAAAUAUAACUGAAGUUUCAUAUUUUGAGUGGGGUCCCAGGCCCCCACUCCCAUGAACGUGGGUCCGCCCCUGGCUGCAGCGUCUGCUCGUAGAUCUUCGCAACGCAGUGCCUUUGAGCAGAGGCAAGGAAGGUGUGGUGUUUUCUAGGGUUUCCCCCUUUGCUCGUAGGAGCGACACAGGAGGGAGGUUUAUGUGUUUGACUGGUGAGCACUUUAUGCAAGAUCUGGACACAACAUCUUUACAGCUAAACCAAAACCUAGAAAUCUACUCCAGUUGCUGUACUUCCUCUCAUCCAUUAAUUGUCGCUGAUUUAGUGCAACUUCAUUACCACAAAUAUUAAGAUGGACCCGAAGGAGUAGUAUAUUAUGACAGUUGUGGAAUGGACCAAGCCGAAACUAGUUAUGAAGCUUGAGAAACACAUAUGAGUUAUGCUAUUGUGCGAGGCAGAAGAGCACAUUUGUGCAUGGGAAAGUAGUAGGACGCACCCGAGUGCAUGUGCUUCUAAGUAUGUGUUAAUUCUCAUAUGACCAUCAUAUACAAGACAUGCACCACCAUAUAAGCAUUUUAAUCAUAAGUUCAGUAUAACAUUUUGCACGGAUCACUUUUGUAUCUUGUGCAUCUCUUUCUCACAAACCACUAAAUAUAUUACAGGGAUUAGGAGGCAUCAAGAAAAAGACAAUAUGGAUAGCCCGUCAGUGAAGAUCGACCAAAUUCUGAAACAGCACGAUGUGCCAAAAAAUGACCAGGGUGGCCAUCAACACUUGCUCCCUUACUACCACCACAGUAGACUCACAGACACCUUCCAGAAGUCACACCUACAUCCAGGCUGCAGAGAAGUGCCCGCACCUCGUCACAGCGGACGUGCUCGGCAAGGCAGGGAAAAGAACAAGUAGUCUACGUGACACAUCCUGCAGUGGCGGCGUUAGUGUGGGUUGUAACAGGGGUCAGCCCAUAUUGGAGUUGUCCUAGGAAGUAUACCUGAGGAUGAUGGCGCGGGGGGGUGGCUUGCAACCUCGGCGUUGUAUGUCUGCAGGAAGAACAUGGCUGUGUCUGGCGACGAUCUCACCACCAAGGUGUGCCUAUGGGUGACGAUGGUACACGAAAAGAAAUGGUGGUGCACGUACGUACACGUAUGUGACUGCAAAAGGCUCCACUUAUCUGGUGUUAGACAAACAAAUCAGUGAAUCAAUAAUGUUGAAGCAGCCAUGCAAUAAGUAGUAUUUCUAACUCAUGUUAGUAAUAAUUAUUUGUUGUCACCUAAGCUCCACUCCACUAAUAUAUGUAUAGAUUGACUAUUCAUCACCCAGGAUACACAAUAAAUUAUUCUUCACCCGAGGUAAUUUUACAAUCCUUUUAUAAAUUAAUUAUAUUUGGAAUACAAUUAGUUACACUAGUCAUCAACUCGUGCUCCUGCACGGGCUAGCAUUUUUAUGAAAAAUUUAAUUUGUACAUAGAAAGUUUAUAUUAGUAUUGUUUUGUUUGAAUAUUUUACAAUCAAAAGUACAACAUAGUCAAAAUAUAAUUUUGUACUUAUCUAUACCUAUACUAAUUCUAGACUCUCUAGAAAUUCCCAUGUUAAUCAGAUUUUAUGAGCCGUUAAUCUGGUGGGACCAAGUUAUUACGGCGUAGAUUAACCCUUAUAAAUCUCAGGUUUUUUUGUGCUUAGCUCAACCAUAAAAGUCCGAAAAUUAUUAAUAUGUUGUAGAACAAAUCUGCUGUAAAAGAAAUUACUUUGAAACCCAUCCUAUCACGUGUGUAGGAAAUAAAGCCUUUCAAAAAGGAAACCUAAAUAGAUAAGGCCUCUACCCUCUUUUCCUCUUCCCAUGAAAAAACAGCCUAAACCACAACACCCCUUGCGGAGGAUUCCCUACGCUAGACGGGUUGUGGUCGAUCUGCAGGAUAGCGAUGUUCGUCCUGGACAGAUCCCCCCUCGCCUACAACUAUGAUUUGCUGGGUCCUCGACAGACCGUCAUCCCCGUUGCAUCUGCAAACUGCAGGAUGGUGUCGCUGCCAGACUGCAACCCUGAUCCACCGCGUUUUCAAUAGACAGUCAUCCUCGCUUGCAUCGGAGUUGAGGUGUUGUUGCCAGUUUUCUUUUUGUGCGGUGGUCAUCCACUAAAGCAUGAAGGCCCGACGGUACUGUUCCUCAACAUGGAGAUCUGGUGGUGUUGCUUCUCCUCGGCACCUUGGAACGAUCUGCUAUACUAUCAGGCGUGAGGCGAGCUACCAAACUUCAGGCGCGUAAAGAGCGCAAAGCCAAGAGCUAUAUAAUAUCACACUAUUAUGUAUGUAUCCUCCUUCUCAUAGGACCCUCAAUUUGUUUUGUUCGCUCAAUCUCUAGAUAUUUAUAGGUUUAUUCCUAUUUUCUUUUUUCAGAUAUUCUGCACCACGCAGGAGACAUAUUAUAUGUUUAAGUGGUGUAAAUGUACUAUAUAUACGUGCAAGAAUAGUAAAUAUGUUUGUGACUAUACAAGUACUAACAAAAUUUUGAACUAUAAUCUUAUAGUUCCUGCAGCAUGUGGUUUGUUUUUUGUUUUUUAGUCUCCAACAAUAUUUGGAUGAAUUAGGAUAUCAUCUAUAUAGAUGGAACAGUCUGUAGCAAGCAGCAGUCAGAUUUGUUAGUUUUCUCAUAUUAUACUUGGAUCUGAUUUCUAUUUUUUCAGAUUCUAUUCCUAAAUGGCUCAUGGGUACACGUCCCUUUUUCAGGUUUCUUUCUCAGAUUUUUUCUUCUCCUGAUAGUCUAUUCACUGAAUAUAAUAAUCUCUUUUCUAUACGGUUUCUAAAGUGUAUGAUUGCUUUUCUUCCAGGGUUAUUCUAGCCAUGCCUUGGCUUUCACUUAGAUGGACAAGAGUCGGUUCUUCAGUGAGACGCCUAACUAUAAGUUAUUGUUUGACCAGUUGUGAGGUGUCUCCUAGGCACUGAAUGGAUGUUCAUGAUGUUGAUCUAUCUAAAUAUCAUGUGGUACACAGUCAAGAAAUGAGCAGUAGGAUGGUUGGUCCCAAACUAAGGUUAGUCUUAGCAUGGGAUCACUGCCGAGAUUUCUAUCGCUCAAUAAGUAACACCAUUGCUUACACCAGGUUAGAGAAGCUUCCUUUUGAAAGUUUCAUCUUUUAGCUUUGGAAGUUUUAAAUAUUGAGAACGGUAGAUUGUGCAAUUUCCAUUUCUUUGAUAGUAGGUGACAUACAAGAACACCCUUGAUGUAUUACUUUCUUUAUUUUUUCUUACAAAAUUCAUGAAGUGGUUUCUUUUUUAUUAAAAUAAUGAUAACGCUGAGUUAUCAAUACAAUUAACCAUGGGACCCAGACUUAAACGCUAGAACAUAUAAACUUGGCAAGCCAUGAAGUUAUUAAAUAGGAAAUCAUACUUACUGAUUGUGCUAUAAAAUAAUGACUGCUACACCCAAGUUAUAAUAGUUCAACACGAUGAUUGCCUAGGAGUUUGGGAAUGUGACUUUGUCAAAGAGGACACAAAUUUAACAUGUUCUGUUGAUUGACCCUACAGUAUCAGCACACAAGAUAGAUGAACAUUAAGAUUUCAUUCAGCCAAAAAAAAAUUCUAAGUUGAACACGAUAAAGAUUUUUGAUGUGUGUUAACCAGUAGACAAAUUCUAGCUACAUAGCAAAGUGAAGAGCCUUAUAUUUAAUUAGUAGUUUGGCCUUUUACUAUUCCCUAUUUUGUUGGGUAGUAACUAUUUUGAUCGAUACCACAAGAAGAUCAUUGACGUAAUUCAAAAUCAGAAAUAUUGCGGUUUGCUUUCAUAGGCUAUUUGCUUUAUGUAGUUCCCAUUAUUUAAUUCUACAACAAACGCUUUCCCAUCUAAACUUUUCAAUUCCUUCUCAUUCCUACCACUACCGUAGUGUUGUUUUCUAUUACAGGAGGUUGCACAUAUUGUGGCAAACACAAACACCAGCCCAUGGGAAUGCACAUGUUCACAAUUAUGUUAGGUUUUGGAUGGCGUGACAUGAUUCUGAUCAAUGAACUAUUUGCUCUUCUAACCAACAUCAAGGUAAGAUGAGUUUGAUUUAUCUUUUUUCUUGCUUUAUCUCUUUGUUGUUUAGUUAUUUCAUGAAAUAAGUAGAACGCAGUUGUGGCACAUUAUUUCAUCAUAAAAGCAUGUACACCACAAUGUAUUUAUACUGCAUAUUUUUAUUUUAGUCUUUUUGCCUAACAAUUCGAUAUGUCUCAUUAUUUUCAUUUGUACUUACACAUGAAUGGAAAGAAGACAGAAGGACAUGUGAAAAUUACUAGAAAUGUUUUUUUGGGUGUAGCUAAACAAUUAGAUGGGUGUGUGAAUCAAGAUUAGAUGGAUGUUCAAUCACUAGAUCACUCCUACCAUUGUGUGCAUACUAUCGAAAUGUGAUGAUGGGGAUGACAAGUUUGUCGGGCUGAUGUCUGAUGACAACACAAUGCAGGAGUUUUUUAGCGGUGGCAUAGCAAUGCUGAUGCAGUGUACAGCGUCAAAUUAUCAAAUGCCAUGACAUGAGAAAUUAUUUGGAUGGAUGCGAGCACUACUAUAUAUUGUCCUACUAUGAAGAAGUUAUUUUGCUGUUUCUGAUCAAGAUAUUGUUUAAUAAGGAAAUCCUUCUGCUUCUGAACAAAUCCAUGUGGCAACUGCCAUUGUUCAUCAAAUAUAGUUCCUGAAGUGAUCUGAUUGGACUUCAAGUGUGUAGGUUUGGUGAGAUAGUCAUUCCCUUUAUUCCAUGCAAGUCCAACAUACAUAUAGUCAAUUAGUACAAUUUUAAUAUGAAUAUGUUUGUGUGGGUAAUGACAAUGUUGUAGUGUGAAGAAACAUAAAACAUAUUAAUCCCAAAGCUUGAUGUAUUGAUAUAGUGGGGAGCGGAAUAAAAGAAUAUGCACUAUUAUUUAAUUAUAAAACAGUGUAGUUCUAGCAUAUUUAUGCAUGUAGAAAAAAAUAUCCUCCAUUCGGGAGAUGCAGCAACAAAGUUUAUUAAAUAUUUACCCAAUAUACAAAUGUACAACUUUCAUUCCACGGCGGGAAGCAACAUGUCCCUUGGUGUAAAUUGGUUUCAUAUUGUCUCAAAAUUAUGUAACAGAGAAGUCACACUCAAAUCUUGAACAUAAGUUCGAGCUGUUCCAAAUGGUGGCAUGCUUAGUUCGGACUCAUAAAAAACAUAAUAAUUAGCACCUUAGCCCGUGCAAGUGCACGGGUUGACGACUAGUUUUCAUAGUGUAUAAUAUAUGAUAUUUCCCAACUUCCUAAUAUGAGUAUAUUCAUAACACUGUGGAUCACCUUAUAUCUUUGAAAUUUUUGCAUUACGUAUUGUGCCACAACAGAAAGUGGUGAUGCCAUUAUGUAUAUUUAAUGGCUCAAGAGUUCGGUAAUUCUUAAAUACAUUGAAAAUGUCUUUUCAUCAAGUGACACCAUUAUUAUAUUUUACGGCCCAACUUUUAGACGGUUUGGGAUUUUUGUUUUUUAUAGUAUUUUUUUAUUACAUGUAUUUGACAAAUAGAUUUAGAACUUCUUUGACAUUGAGUUUUUCAAUAUUUCGAGGAAAAACUGUUUGCAUGUCACAUACAUAUUGAGAAGUAUAUAUAUAUGUAAGUGUGACUCAAUUACAUGGGUGAUUUGCAUGGUACUCAUGCGUAAUCUAUCUGAUUGUGUGUGUAUGUGUUGUUUUUUGGAUAUUAUAAAAUUUCAAAAGUAAAAUAUAGAUGUUUGCUUUAAUUAUUUGAACUGGCCUAUUCUAAAACAUCCCCUAAAAUUAUUGGAUGACCACUUAUAGAAUUUUGAAAGUUUGUUUGUCCAUUCUUGAAAAUUCAUCCUUAUGAACAUCCAAACCGAUUCGCUGGAAAAAGUAAUGGCAAUUUCUUUGGCUACUACUAAAUUUCCUUUUUACUUAUUAGUUAACUGCUCUUCAUUCUCACGAAUUCAUCCUUAAAUAUCUUAAUUUUGAAACUUAAUCUACAUGCCCUCACUUCUGAAAUAAACGGACCUCUUAUGCACAUGCACUGUUUAGCAAUUUUGAUGAAAUAUAUUCCAGGAUUUUCAGUUACAUGUAUUUUUCAGAUAGAUUCAUAACUUUUUUAACACCGAAGUUUUUAAUAUAUUCUGAAAUACAACAUGCGUGAUCGGUAUAGUACAUGAGUAUGUGUGAGUAUAUGAGUAUGUGUGAUUUAUGUACAUGCGUGAUCGGUAUAGUACAUGCAUAUAAGGGUUGUGAUUUUGUGCAUGGUGAUUUUUUGUUUCAAAAAAAUUCACAUACCUAGAUGCAUGUAUGCACAACCUAAGUGUGUCACGCAUGCAGGGAUAGCUUUAUGUAUACGUUUCUAGAAGAAAAUAGUUAAUUCUUUUUAUAUGAAUAUAAAAUAUAUUUUUAAUUUGGUAGGUGAUUUUACAUCCACGUUUCCUAGUUUACCACUUAUGGACUCUUUGGACCAUAUAAUUUUCCUUGUAAAUGCACGCACUACUAAACAGAAUGAAUAGAGUUUGCAUAUCUUGUUUAUUAAAUGGGACUGGUACGCUUACGUCGGCGGACUGGUACGCUAGGAUCGGUUGCGUACAGGAAGAGGAAAGGGAGAAGGAGUUUGUUGAGAUUACAAUAUCUAUCUCUAAUUCUAACAAAGUGAAGACAAAAAGUCUGCUCUAAAACUAAAUCAAAACCUAGCUAGGAAGCUACUCCAAUUGUUGUACUCCUUAGUGUAGCGACAAAUUAAUAGGUGGACGAAGCCGAAACCAUUUACAAAGCUUAAGACACACAUGUGAGGUAUAUGCUAGUGUAACACCACGCCGAAGAGCAUAUUUGGUCCACAGAAAGUAGUUGGAGACACCAGAGUACAUGUGCUCCUAAAUAUUUGUUCAUUAUCAUAUGACCAUGAUAUAUAGGCAUGCACAACAACAUACCAGUCUUAGCAUUCAUAGUUUACUAUUAUAACAUUUUGCGUCGAUCACUUAUAUUUGUGCUUGUCUCUCACAAACCACCACCAUAUAUAUUUUGAGAUUAGGAGGCAUCAAGAUAAAAACAGUGUGGAUUACCCAUUCGCCAAGAUCCAUGAACUGCUGAAGCAGCACCAUACACAAAAACCAUGCCCUGGACCGUCCCGAACGGAUGCUCCCUGACUACCACGGGCGGAGCAUACUGCUGGAGCCGUCCUACCCAGUGUCCAGGCGGGCUUGUGUGGGAGUGACCCGAUCAGCAAGAGGGAAUUGAUUGUUUUGCGUGACAAACCGACCACUAAGGACUUGUUGGUUUAAGCCACUGCCCGAAUGGAUUGAAGUCGAUUGGACGAGAUUUGUGGAAAAUUUGACCUAAAUGGGAUUUGAUCCCUGCCAAUAUCUGUCAAUCCCCCUCGUUUGUCAUGGAACCGAACAAGGCCUAAGGUGACGAUGGUGUACGGAUCGGGUGUUGCUACAGAAAGAAAUCAAUGAAUGUGUCGUGUGUAAGCAGCCACACAAUAAGGAAUAUUUAAAUCAAGCGAGAAGUAAUUAAUUUUUUAGACGAAUAAGUUGCACUUAGUAAAUCAAGCGAGAGGAGAGAUUGGAUCCACAUACCUUUGUAGAUCACUACGCGGAAGCGUAUAUAACGAGGUUGAUGUAGUCGAACAUCUUCGCGAUACAAAUCGCAAUCCGUCCCGCGAUCCCAUCAUGAUUUGUGCCGCGAUCUCAUCACAAUCUAGUGCCGAACGGACGGCACCUCUGCGUUCAGCACACGUACAUCUCGAUGACGAUCGUCGCCUUCUUGAUCCAGCAAGAGGGGCAGAGAGGUAGCUAAGCUCUCCGACAACCUUAUGGCGUGGCAGCGAUGGUGGUGGAGCUGAACCGACAGCGCUUCGCCGUGCAGUGCCGAAUCUAUUCUAGAGGAAGAACGAACUAGAGGGAGGGAGAGGGGCUGAGCCUUGGAUCGUGUGUAGGCUUCCCUCUCUCCCCUCUAUUAUAUAUAGGAGGGAGGAGGAAGGGGUGGCACCCUAGGGUUUCACCUAGGGUUGGCCGGCCGCACCCAAGAGGAGGAAUCCUCCUCCACCAAGGGAGGUGGAGUCCUACUCCUAGUAGGAUUCCCUCCCCAAUUGGCCUCCUCCCACCUCUUUGGUGCAAGGGCCUUUAGGGCUGGCUGCCCAGCCCACUAAGGGCUGGUGCGCCACCUCUUAGGACCAUGUGGCCCCUGGGGUAGGUGUACUUCUCCCGAUGGACCCCCGGAACCCAUUCGUCAUUCCUGGUACACCAUCGGAAAUGCCCGAAACCGUUCCGGAGCCCAAAUACCCUCUUCCUAUAUAUCAAUAUUCGUCUCCGGACCAUUCCCGAACUCCUCGUGAUGUCCAGGAUCUCAUCCGGUACUCCAAACAACCUUAGGUCACCAACAUACAUAACUCAAAUAUACCGAAACAUCACCGAAUCUUAAGUAUGCGGACCCUGCGGGUGCACGAACUAUGCAGACAUGACCGAGACACUCUCCGUUCAAUAACCAAUAGCGGCACCUGGAUGCCCAUAUUGACUCCUGCAUAUUGUACGAAGAUCUUUAUCGGUCGAACCUCUAUGUUAAGGAUUCAGUUAAUCCCGCAUACUAUUCCCUUUGUCCAUUGGUAUGUUACUUGCCCGAGGUUCGAAUGUUGGUAUCUCUAUACCUAGUUAAAUCUCGUUACUGGCAAGUCUCUUUACUUGUUCCGUAAUACACAAUCUCCUGACAAACUCUUUAGUCACAUUGCUUGCAAGGCUUGUUGUGAUGUUGCAUUACCGAGUGGGCCCCCGAGAUACCUCUCCGUCACACGGAGUGACAAAUCCCAGUCUUGAUCCAUGCCAACCCAACAAAUACCUUUGGAGAUACCUGUAGAGCAACUUUAUAGUCACCCAGUUACGGUGCGAUAUUUGAUAAACACAAGGCAUUCCUUCGGCGUUCGGGAGUUGCAUGAUCUAAUGGUCAUAGGAAUAGAUACUUUGACAUGCAUAAAACAGUGGCAAUAAACUAACACGAUUAUAUGUUACGUUCAUAAUUUGGGACUUGUCCAUGACAUCAUUCUCCUAAAGAUGUGACCCCAUUAUCAAAUGGCAACUCAUGUCUAUGUAUAGGAAACCUUGACCAUCUUUAAUCAACAAGCUAGUCCAUUAGAGGCUCACUUGGGAUAGUGUGUUGUCUAUGUAUCCACACAUGUAUUUGAGUUUCCAAUGAAUACAAUUAUAGCAUGGAUAAUAAAUGAUUAUCAUGAGCAAAGAAAUAUAAUACUUCCCCGUCUCAAAAUAACUGUCUCAAGCUUAGUACAAUUUUGUACUAGAGCUAGUACAAAGUGAGACACUUAUUUUGAGACGGAGGGAGUAAUAACUAAUUUAUUAUUGCCUUUACGACAUAUUUUCAACAGCCGGCCCCCAUCGCCCCCGCAGGUCCGCUGGCGCCCACCACCAUGUCUCCCGCCGGCCCCGGCCUCACCGACCACCACCUUGCCUGCCGACCAUUGACUCUCCCCGCGCCCCUAUCGACCCCAGCCGCGGCCUCAUCGCCCCCUAGACCUCUGGCUCCGGGCCUGUCGCCCCCAGCCUUGGCCUCGUUGACCUCGUUGCCCCCACUGGCCCCGCUGUCCCAUGCUGCUGCUCUAGUGAGCACGGGCAUAGUGGAUGGUGGCAAGGAGGCAAGGCGUGCUGGAUCUCGGGCUACUACACCACCCACUCCUCUCCCAUAAUUUUUUCGUGUGUAAUAAAUCAGAAAGGUGAUGAUGUAAUAUGUGCAAAUAGAGUAAUUUUGUAUAUUGAAAUUGUUCAUUUUUUCGUUGAUUCUUGAAUGAAGUGUUGAUCGAUCCAAUGUUGUUCGUCAUCGUCAGUUCGUGGUCGCCUCUGCAAAUGUUGGUUCAGAAUUUUUAAUAGAAAAAACCUUUGCCAUCUGUGUUUUUAUAGGCUGGCGACAAAGAUAGAUUUUGGCUGACGGCAAAUAUACCUUUUUUGUGCCGUCUGUUAUUAUAUGACAAACGGCAAAGCCGCAGUUUUUCUGGCGGCAAAAUCUUUGACGUUUUCAUAAUGAAAUGCUGACGGCGAAGCCACAAUUUAGAUGGUGUCGAAAUCUUUGACGUGUGUUAUUAUAUGGCAAACGACAAAGCCGUAGUUUAGACUUUGCCGACAAGCUUUGCCAUCAGUUGGCUAACGGCAAAAUCUUUGUCGUCUGUACUUUCCCGAUGACAAACUACCAUAUUCCUAUAGUGGAAGUAAGUUUUGGAAAAUAAUCCAAACAUGUGCAAGAUUAAAUGUUACAAAACGGCGGUUCCCAUGUUGCGGCUGACGCAUAUUGCAGUGCGGACGAUGUCUUUGGCUGUCAAGGAAUCAAACGGUGUAAACGACAUCUUCAGCGGUCGAGGCGGCGGACUUCGAGGAGGCUGAUCCCACGGUGUAGACGGCGGCUCCGGCGUCAAGGUGGCUGCCAUCGAGGAGGUGGCUGUCGACAAACAGAUGACGGCUACUAUGGCCGAGGCGGCGACUCUGACGAUGCGGAAAGCCACCCCGGACGAUGUUUGUUGUUCGCCAAUGGCUUUUUAGAUUUUUGGAAAUUAACACAUACCAGCUAGGUUUCGGUGGGGGCUGUGUUGGAUAACAUCAUGCACAACAGUCGUGGGCAACCUAUACUAUCCGCCGCUCCUAUAUAUGUGUCCUUUUUUGAACACGCACAUACACUCAUUCGUAUGAACGCACCCAUGCACAUUCUUCACAUAUGAGCACCUUCGAGAGACUGAGCCUGCAAAUCAUCUUGAGAUUUACAAAGUCAUAGUAGGUGCCUUGUCAUUGACGGGAACGUCUCCUUCCGCUGAAAGCAUAUCGCCGGAAAUCCUGAAAUAAAUUCAAGAAUAAUGCAAGCAUCAGGAUUUAAACCCUAGUGGGUUGGGGAUACCACUGUCCCUCUAACCAUCCAACCACAUGUUGGUUUACCUCCUAUAUAUGUGUCAUAGGUGGCAGCGCGGCCAAAAAUAGUUGUGUUGGGCGACAAGUAAACCCGACACUAGAACCUCCGGUAAAUUUAAAAUCGCUUGUGCCGGGGCUUUGCUAUUGGAGCCUGUCUCCAUCACGGGGUCGUCCUCAUCAUCGGAUACCUUGAGCGAGCUGGCCGACAAGCUAUCUUGGAUCCACUUGGCAAGGCGCCUCUGCUAGGCUGCGGCAAGGGCAACGACCUCAUGCUUCAUCUCCGUGGAAAGGCUCCUUCAUAGAGCUUCGCUACCUGGAGCCAUGGCUCAUGCAAUGCGAGAGAGGAGGAUGGGGAUCAACUUCUGUUGUAGCAUGAAGUUAGCCGGGUGUGGCUGCCUUUAAAUGGCGUAUCGUGAGGCCAGAUGCGUCGGGUGCGUCAAUGCGCGGCGUCGUAGUGGAUUUAUCUAUCGGUGAGCCUUCUUAAUGGUAGCACACGAAGGGAGGCGACAUUGAAUGGGAAUGGUAGAUAUUCUUCCCAUUCCGUCCAGUAACACGUCGCCGGCAAUGAAUAGGCAAGGACACUGAGGACAAGGACACGUAACAUGUGGUGCCCUCGGCCGGCGGGCCGUUUGAAUGGUGGAGAUAGUGAGAGGUCGUGUCUGAUCCCGGCCCACUUCGAUGUGGAGCGACACUCUAUAGUGACAUGAAUGCGGCAGCUGGCCCCGGACGGGAACGCAUGCAGACAAGGAAGGAGGGGGCGUAGGUGUAUUCACACGCAGGUGUAGGUGCUGUCCAGACGCACACGCUAAGGUCCCACACGUUUGUGUCUAGUUUGCGGAAGAAAGUGCGUCUGAACCGUUCGAUACAUGUACGUGUUGGAUGGCACAACGGAUGCUUGCCAACAGAUGCAGACGGUUUGAGGAUAGCCGUAGAAGAUGCCCUUAGUAGUAAAGAUUACACUGACUGUCGACUCUUUAAACGUGUACGUUGAGGUUCCUCAAGACAGUUUUUAAAAGAGAAACAGUUUAAAAGAGAAUCAGUUCUGAUUCCGGUGACCAUCUGCCGUUGCUGUUCUGAUGAUUGGUUGAUUCGUAAUACGGAAAUUAAUUACGCAUGGUUUUACUACCAAAGAUGCCUUCCAAGGUAUGUCUUUUCACUUUGCUCCCAAACCAAAUUUCUAAUGAGAUGUUUCUACAGUUCGGUUCACCAACGAUGAUCCUUUUAUUGCUUACUUUUCUGUAAAGUUUGUAAAAAAUCAAUUCAGUUUAUUACAACGUGUUCUCUUAUUUUGGUUGCUGGGGUCAGUAAGUUCGUGGCAAGACUAACAAGGGAGAUGCAUGUUUGUUUUGGAAAGUGUAACAACAAAGGACAUAUUUUAGUGAAAUCUGCUGUUUCUCUUCAUGUAGGCCGCGAUGUUUGGUUUGGAGUGCCGCAUGAUUCGGUAAUAACCCCUAUGAACAUCACCGUUAAUCGAUAGAGUCCGGUGAAGUUCCCUAAAAAAUGUAUCCCUGUGAUAUUCUAGUGUUGGCAUCUCAAUCGUGAAGUGGGAAUGCAUUGUUCUGUCAUCUGUGACGUGAACUCAAGAACGGGAAUCUGAGUCGAAUAUUUUUUAAUUUUGAUAGGAAGGUUGGUCAAGUUAGAUGAUUUUGGGAGUACACAAAUACAAACUUUUAGGUUAUUUUGCCGUGCAAACUAAUUUCUUCGCAGUAGUAUUCCCCAACUAUAAAGAUUUUGCCUUCAUGGAUGUUUUGUAAUCUUUUUUUCAUUGAUUUUGUUUUUCUUUCCAGCGUACUUGUUAAUUAAAAGAUAUAUCAUUGUAAAUACAGAACCAAAAGCAUAUGAACGGCUUGAUUUGGCUCGGACAAACAACAAGCGAUGCCCAGCUAACUUACCGAAGGAUCUAACAACACUAUACUCGACAAUGCGAUUGAGUACGUACUAGAAGAUGAGUGGCACAAUAACUAGACGUUGACACAAACAAUAAUACAGAAGGAGAGAAAGCUACACAGACCAUGGGACUAAGUAUGAAAUCCAUGGAUUACUCCAACAAUAUCGUUCAUUAUUCGGAUCAGAUUGAUGACCUAGCCAAACCGACUCUAAAGCAAGUUAACUUAGCUGCAGAGGAACGAAGACCGAUUGAUGAGCAUUGCUGCUGGUGUCAGCCGCAUGAGAUAAGGGGGCAGAGGAGAUAGUCCUUCCCGAUCGCCGCGCUGAUCUCACACAGGCAGAUUAUGUACUCAUCGGAUAAAUAUGUGCAACACGGCUUGAUCAAAUCUACAUGACCCUCGAGGAUCCCUGCUUUACAGUAAACUCCCAUCGGAACGUCAGAGCAGCGAGAUUCAUGUGCCACCGCCACCGGCAGCAGCGCCAGGACCAUCACAAGGACCGCUUCUAGCACCAGCACAGGCGCCGCUUCCUGGGAUGACUUCAUUGUUAGGUACCUAGCUAGAGGAUUGAUAUAUAUCGAUGGAUGCUCAAGGUGGAGGAUGCUUUGCUUUGAGCGUGAGGUGUAUAUGGUACUCUGGUAUGUGAAGGAUGGUUUCACCAGGGGUAGGG